GAUGAACGCUGGCGGCGUGCCUAACACAUGCAAGUCGAACGGAGUCCAGCCUUUAAGACCUUCGGGUCAAAGAGGGGAAGACUGAGUGGCGGACGGGUGAGUAACACGUGGGCAACCUGGCUCAUAGAGGGGGAUAACAGAGAGAAAUUUCUGCUAAUACCGCAUAAGCACACACUGCCGCAUGGCAGAGGGUGAAAAGAGAAUCGCUAUGAGAUGGACCCGCGUCUGAUUAGCCAGUUGGCAGGGUAAGAGCCUACCAAAGCGACGAUCAGUAGCCGAUCUGAGAGGAUGAACGGCCACAUUGGGACUGAGACACGGCCCAAACUCCUACGGGAGGCAGCAGUGGGGGAUAUUGCACAAUGGGGGGAACCCUGAUGCAGCGACGCCGCGUGAGUGAAGAAGUAUUUCGGUAUGUAAAGCUCUAUCAGCAGGGAAGAUAAUGACAGUACCUGAAUAAGAAGCCCCGGCUAACUACGCG
This 478-nucleotide ribosomal RNA is filed under the name uncultured bacterium. RNAcentral describes it as "partial 16S ribosomal RNA". It matches the Rfam family "Bacterial small subunit ribosomal RNA", at positions 28 to 507 of the family's 1533-position model. The record is from RNAcentral.